This 4730-nucleotide long non-coding RNA is filed under the name Sus scrofa (pig). Its description in RNAcentral is "lncRNA (ENSSSCG00030042082.1)". Lineage: Eukaryota; Metazoa; Chordata; Mammalia; Artiodactyla; Suidae. The record is from RNAcentral.
UUCCCAGGCUAGGGGUGGAAUCAGAGCAGUAGUUGCUGGCCUAUGCCAUAGCCAUAGCAACACAGGAUAGAGCUGUGUCUUAAACUUAUACCACAGCUCAUGGCAAUGCUGGAUCCUUAACCCACUGAGCAAGAACAGGUAUCAAACCAGCAACCUCAUGGAUACUAUUUGGGUAUGCUUCCACCAAGCCACAACAGGAACUCCUAAAAUAAUUUUUAAAUUACACACAAAGUUUAGCUUUGCAACCAAAUUCACAUUAAACUUUAGCUGAAGCCAGUUUUAACAUGAGAAAAAAACAUACCCCCUUUUAUUUAUACUCACCCUAAAAUAAGUCAAAAAUGAGAAAGUCAUACUCAAUUUUAAUGAAAAUAGGAGAUGUUCAUAGCCCCAAUUACAACAUGUAAUGCCUGAGGGCCCCAGUUACGACAUAUGCUUACUGAGAGCAGAUGGGUUGAAAUAAAAAAAUAAUAUAACUGAAUGGAGGAAAUUUAACCUUAAGUGGCUGUAGAGGGAGAUGUUGAGAGAAACCACCAAUUUACACCCAGAAACUUUAGAGAAAGCUCAAGAAUCGUAUAUCAUUUACAAGAGAAGUCAGGAGGCUGGUGGGAAGGGUAUGUAAGCCUAAAACGAGGUUGUUGGUUUGAAAGUUACUUUAUGAAGCACUUAGGCCUCAAAUCCUCACCAGCAUCACUACCCUUCCCUUCUCCUGCCUCCAGAAGAGGAAGAAGUUUUCCUGAAGACAAAGGAGUUGAGAGAGAAAAACUUUGUACUUGGAGAUACUGAGCACAGAUAAAGGGAGCUCUGACCUUUUAAAUGAAAACAGAGAGUGAACAGAAAUCUAUAUAGUGAGUAAUGGAACUCCUAGCCCCUUCCUCCAAUUUGGCUCUGGAAGUCCUAUAAGCAGGCUUCUACCCACUAAGCUGGCCACUGAAUGAUCCUUUAAUAUAGAAGCUAAAACACCUAAAUAGAAAGGCCACGGACAGUGAUAACUAGAGGUUUCCAACAGAAAGGCUAGCUUGCCAUCUGAUCACCCCAUAGGAUAUUCCAUCAAUUCACUACCCUUCCUUACACCCAAUAAUAUCCAUAUACAAUCAUGUACACACCUCACAUUCACAGUAUCAGAGCUUGUAAUAAGAAUCUUAGGAAGUGUUUAUUAAACUGAAGUAAAUAUCACCAGAUGUUUUUGGAAAUUUUCAAUCAUGAAAGGAAAUAAAUAAAAUAAAUAAACACAAAAUGCAACAUAGAAACAACAGCAACAGUAUUGAGACUAGAAGAAGAAUCAAAAAAUUAUAAACACUAUAAUGAGACGUGCAAAGAAAACAUAUCCAUAAGAGAAAAAUAAGGUGUAGAAAACACAGGACCAAAAAUUGUCCUAAAAUUUAAAAGUAACAGAGAUAUAAAAAUCACUAGGUGAAUUGGACGAUGACAUGAAGAUCUUCAGAAACUAGAAAACAAAACAUGAAGAUUAUAAUAGGCAAGAAAUUUUGAAGAUCAACUCAGGAGUGCAAAAAGAACCUACUAAAAAUAGUUAUAGUAAGAAAAAAAGAAACUGAAUAAAAAAAGCUUUAGAAUUAAAAUUAAAUAUCCCCUGUCAAGUCUUAUUAUUCUGAAAAUUCAGAACUUAAUUGAUAAAAAAAGAAGAUUCUGAGUGGGUCUUCUGAUAAAAAGAUAUUAGUUCUCAUCCAGAAAAUCUGGAAUAGGAAGUUAUGCUUUUCCAUCAGCCACUAUGAUGUCAAUGUGAAAGAAAGAACAAAGCCAUUUCAGAGCUAGAGUUACAGAGUUUCAAAUAAUUCUUUGUUCCUUUUCUAAAGAAAAAUAGUAUUAGGUCUGCUCCAUCAAAAUGAGGAAGUAUAUCAAAUAUGGAGGAAAACAUAAGUUCCAGACACUAGAAAAACACACUAAGAAGCAGAGGGCAUUCUAAGUGAAUCAGGACCCCAGGACUACAUCGUCUAGUGGGCACAUUCACAGGUCUGUCCUGGUCCUGGAUGGAGGAGGAAGUAAAAGUGGAUAGGAAAGAGUGUCACAUGAUACAUAAACUUGACAACUGGCCAAUCCAGACCAACUGACAAAUUCCAUUGUGUAAAAAUUCUAUUGGCACAUCCCUUAGUAACCGGAGAGUUCAGAUGUAGCCUUAGGAUAAAAAUAAAUAAAUUAAAAACACAAUAUAAGGCAAAUAUUAACUCCAGAAAAAAAUAAAAUUAAAACAUCUGUAAACAAAAAUGAUGAGUACUACAAUUUCAACCACGUAAAACAUUUCUAUAGUCACAUAAAUCAGAAACUUGAAUAUUGAUUAAACCAAAAAUAUAUGAGGAGAUGAGAACCAGAGAUACAUAUGCGAAGGUAGUUAAUAUUUUCAUUUGCCACAAGAAAUUGAUCAGUAAAAUUUACUAGUCAACAGAUAGAACUGUUAUGUCAAUAUAUGUAAUAAAUAGUUUAAAGAAUUAAAAAGUUACUUUCAGUGUGUAGCAAACUUGAGAUGGAGUAUAAAACUGAUUUUUGCUAUUGAAAUUCAAUUCUUAAAUCUCAGCAAUUGUGUUACAUGAUAUAUCACUAUAUUACAUUGUUAAAAAUAAAAAUCAAUUCAGUCCCCAGUAUUUAGCUUGAAAUUUAGCUGUAACUACAAAUAUUUUGAUUUCUGUUAUUUUAUACUUUAAAGCAAUAAUUGGUUAUUUUUAUAUUUGUUUUUAAACAGUUUGAUAAAACAGAUGGUUUUAGGUUGGUAUUUACAAGCAAUCUAUUCCAAAUAACACAUUUGUUGUGGAUAGACUUGAUGCCAAAUAGAUGAAAACCCAAAUUGGAUAUGAUUAUAAUAAUUCUUUAUGAUUUUUGAAAAAUAUACCCAUGUGCUGCACAGUAAUUUUAAUCAAAUAUUAGAUAACACUUUUUGGUGGUGAUGAGCUUUGUUUGGUCUGAACACAGACAAUGUUGAUUCAAAUUCUAGCUCCCUCCCUCUCAUGUGCAAUCAUGGCCAAGUAUACACGGCUUCUUUGUGCCUCACUUCUCUCAUGUUUAAUAAUGCAAAAUUAAUAGACCAGAAUCAUAAUUUUGUAGGAAUUAAAGCAGAUAAUUUGCAGUAAUAAGUUAGAACUGCACUGGGCAGUGGUGAGCUUUAUAAUUAUUAGCCAUGUUAUCAUGCUCAGGACAAGGCGUUUUGAGUCUAGUGAAGAGUAACUUGAGAAAAUCUGAAAAAUCAAUAGACAUUUUAUCCUUCUCACUUUCUUCCUACAUUUUGUCAUUCCAUUUUAUUUCAUUCUUCAACUCAUUCAUAAGUAUGUGUUACCGUUUUUGUUAACAAAACAGUUUUAAAGAGAAACAAGGGUUUUCUUUAGCUUUCAAUCUUUUAAACAACUGUAUGAUAAUAUACUAAUGACCAACACACACAUAUACAAACAUACAUGUAUACACUCACUUUUACAUUAUAAACAAGAUUCAUAGUAACUUAAAAUGAUCCCAAUUAUAGUCUUUUCUCCAUUGUAUAUUCUUGCCUCCUUUGCUAUAGAUUAGUUGACUAUAGGUACAUGGGUUUAAUUCUGGGUUUACUAUCCUCUUCCAAUGAUCUAUAUUUCUAUUUUUGUGCCAGUAUCAUACUGUUUUGAUGACUGCAGCUUUGUAGUAUAGUCUGAAGCCAGGAAGCCUGAUUCCUCCAGCUCCAUUUUUCCCCCCUCUGGGUGUCUUUGGCUACUGUGGGUCUUUUGUGCUUCCAAACAAACUUUAAAAUAUUUUGUUCUAGUUCUAUGAAAAAUGUCCUUGGUAAUUUGUUAGGGAUUACAUUAAAUCUGAAGAUUGCCUUUGGUAGUACAGUCAUUUUUGACAAUAUUGAAUCUUCCAAGCCAAGAGCAUAAUAUAUCUUUCCAUCUGUUUUUGUACUCAGCAGUAAAAAGGAAUGAAAUAAUGGUAUUUGCAGCAAUAUGGAUGGACCUAGAAAUUAUCAUGCUAAGUGAAGUUAGUCAGACAUUGAGAUAUAAAUGACCUAUGCUACCACUUAUAUGUGGAAUCUAAAAAAAGGAUACAAUUGACUUAUUUGCAUAACAGAAACUGACUCACAGACUUUAAAAAACUUAAGGUUACCAAAGGAGACAGAUGUGGAGGGAGGAGGGAUGGGCUGGGGGUUGGGAUGGAAAUGUUGUAAAAUUGGGUUUUGAUGAUGUUUGUACAAAAAUAAAUAUAAUAAAAUUCAUUGAGUUUUUUAAAAAGGCAAUAUGUAGAAUUUAUAUUGUAACAUUUUAAAAUAAAACUAAAAUAAAUACCAAUAUGCCUUUCAAAGUUGUGGAUUCCCUGCCUCUUAUAUAGAAAGAUAUGUUGGAAACAUUUUUUUUCAGAACUUCUAAGAGUAUGAGCUCUAAUGAAAAAUCUAAGUCUGUGUUCUCAUAGAUAUUCAGUUCUUUUAAGCCAGUUCUUCCUGGACUAGACAAUGGAGGUUAUAUCGUAGAUUCUACUUCAAUGAACUGGUGUAGUAAUGGAAUGAGAUAGUUCUUGAAAUGCUGAAAAUAGUGAUCAGACAAUACUAAUUAGUUAUUAAUUUGUAGAUUAGAAUAUAGUAACCACAAAACUAUAGCAAUGAAAACUCUGGGUAGGCAUUUAAUUAUCUUCAUGUACUAUUCAGGUUUAUAUUCAGUCAGGAAAAAAGUUAAAUGCCAUUACAAAUGUUUUGGUACAAUUACUAAAAAUGAUCUUGAAUUUGUACUAUUUCUACUGAGUUCAGCAGAUUUACAUAGAGAUUUCAAUAAUUA